Molecule: small nuclear RNA, 107 nt
Organism: Trichosurus vulpecula (common brushtail)
Lineage: Eukaryota; Metazoa; Chordata; Mammalia; Diprotodontia; Phalangeridae
Source: RefSeq, a predicted model, not a curated record
AUGCCCGCUCUGGCAGCACAUAUACUAAAAGUGAAACAACGCAGAGAAGAUUAGCACGGCCCCUGGAUAAGGAUGAUGUGCAAAUUCGUGAAGCAUUCCAUAGUUAU